AUUGAACGCUGGCGGUAUGCUUAACACAUGCAAGUCGAACGGUAGCAUGACUUAGCUUGCUAAGUUGAUGACGAGUGGCGAACGGGUGAGUAACGCGUAGGAAUAUGCCUUAAAGUGGGGGACAACUUGGGGAAACUCAAGCUAAUACCGCAUAAUUUCUUAGGAAAAAAGCUGGGGACCUUCGGGCCUGGCGCUUUAAGAUUAGCCUGCGUACGAUUAGCUAGUUGGUAGGGUAAAGGCCUACCAAGGCGACGAUCGUUAGCUGGUCUGAGAGGAUGACCGGCCACACUGGAACUGGGACACGGUCCAGACUCCUACGGGAGGCAGCAGUGGGGAAUAUUGGACAAUGGGGGCAACCCUGAUCCAGCAAUACCGCGUGUGUGAAGAAGGCCUGAGGGUUGUAAAGCACUUUCAGUGGGGAGGAGGGUAUUUAGGUUAAGAGCUAGAAUACUGGACGUUACCCACAGAAGAAGCACCGGCUAACUCCGUGCCAGCCGCCGCAGUAA
This 506-nucleotide ribosomal RNA is filed under the name uncultured bacterium. RNAcentral's name for it is "partial 16S ribosomal RNA". It matches the Rfam family "Bacterial small subunit ribosomal RNA", at positions 30 to 523 of the family's 1533-position model. The record is from RNAcentral.